UUAAUCUCUGUCUUUUCUCACCUAGGACAGAUAACUUCUAGCUAUAUCCAUCUUUGCUUAUUUUGGACCACAGGAUUCAAGCUCACAGAUGUGAAGACUCUUCUGGCCGGUGUACUCACCCAAAACCCAGCAGUAGCGAGGCAGGAAGGCUCUAAUCUGUGCCUUUUUACUUUUUUUUUUUUAAUAUCUCUGUUCUCCUUGGGCUUCUCUCUUGUUAAUCUAUGUCUUUUUUCUCACCUAGGACAGAAGGCUACUAGCUAUUACCAACUCUACCUGUUUGGGGCCUCUGAGUUCAACUUCAUGGAAAUAGAAUCUCCCUCAGUCAAUGUCCCCCUCCCAGACCUUCUGCUAGCCAGGACAGAAAGCCACUAUUCACUUCAACCUUGACUGUUUUGGGCUCCUGGGUCCAUUUCAUGGCUCUGAAGUCUUCCUCAGCCAGUGUUUCCCUCCAAGAUCCAGUGCUAGCCAGGACAGGAAGCUGCUAGACAUUUUUACCUUUUCCUGUUUUGGGCCUCUGCAUUCAACUUCAUGGCUGGGCAAUCCUCUCAA
Long non-coding RNA from Tupaia belangeri chinensis (Chinese tree shrew), 549 nucleotides. RefSeq lists it as uncharacterized. The transcript has 3 exons. NCBI's taxonomy places the organism in Eukaryota, Metazoa, Chordata, Mammalia, Scandentia, Tupaiidae. The record is from RefSeq and is a predicted model, not a curated record.